This 681-nucleotide ribosomal RNA is filed under the name uncultured bacterium. Its description in RNAcentral is "bacterial SSU rRNA". It matches the Rfam family "Bacterial small subunit ribosomal RNA", at positions 828 to 1500 of the family's 1533-position model. The record is from RNAcentral.
GGGGGCAACCCUUCAGUGUCGUAGUUAACGCGAUAAGCAUUCCGCCUGGGGAGUACGGUCGCAAGAUUAAAACUUAAAGGAAUUGACGGGGACCCGCACAAGCGGUGGAGUAUGUGGUUUAAUUCGAAGCAACGCGCAGAACCUUACCAGCUUUUGACAUGGAACGUUUGAGGACCAGAGAUGGUUUUCUUCAGUUAGGCUGGCGUUCACACAGGUGCUGCAUGGCUGUCGUCAGCUCGUGUCGUGAGAUGUUGGGUUAAGUCCCGCAACGAGCGCAACCCUUGCCGUUAGUUGCCAUCAGGUUGGGCUGGGCACUUUAACGGAACUGCCGGUGAUAAGNCCGGAGGAAGGUAGGGAUGACGUCAAGUCCUCAUGGCCCUUAUAGGCUGGGCUACACACGUACUACAAUGGCGGUGACAGAAGGGAGCGAAGGAGUGAUCUGGAGCGAAUCCUUAAAAGCCGUCUCAGUUCGGAUUGUUCUCUGCAACUCGAGAGCAUGAAGUCGGAAUCGCUAGUAAUCGUAGAUCAGCAUGCUACGGUGAAUACGUUCCCGGGUCUUGUACACACUGCCCGUCACACCAUGGGAGUUGGUUUUACCUUAAGGCGGUGAGCUAACCUGCAAAGGAGGCAGCCGACCACGGUAGGAUCAGUGANCUGGGGUGAAGUCGUAANCAAGGUACC